CAUGUAGGCGGCUUUUCAAGCGUUGUGUGAAAUCCCUCGGCCCAACCGAGGACCUGCAUAGCGAACUGUUGAGCUUGAGGCAAGUAGGGGCGUGUGGAACUCUUGGUGGAGCGGUGGAAUGCGUAGAUAUCAAGAGGAACGCCGGUGGCGAAGGCGACACGCUGGGCUUGUCCUGACGCUGAGAUGCGAAAGCCAGGGUAGCGAACAGGAUUAGAUACCCUGGUAGUCC
Molecule: ribosomal RNA, 229 nt
Filed under: uncultured bacterium
Lineage: Bacteria
Description: partial 16S ribosomal RNA
Rfam family: Bacterial small subunit ribosomal RNA
Source: RNAcentral